AGUGAACGCUGGCGGCGUGCCUAAUACAUGCAAGUCGAACGGAGAUUAAGUAGCUUGCUUCUUACUCUUAGUGGCGCACGGGUGAGUAAUAUAUAGCUAACUUGCCCAUUACUAAGGGACAUCAGUUGGAAACGACUGCUAAUACCUCAUACUCUGUAUCUAUAUAAGUAGAUCCGGGAAAGUUUUCCGGUAAUGGAUAGGUCUAUAUCGUAUCAGCUAGUUGGUAAGGUAUUGGCUUACCAAGGCUAUGACGCGUAACUGGUCUGAGAGGAUGAUCAGUCAAACUGGAACUGAGACACCGUCCAGGAUCCUACCGGAGGCAGCAGUAGGGAAUAUUGGUCAAUGGGGGAAACCCUGAAGCAGCAACGCCGCGUGGAGGAUGACACUUUUCGGAGCGUAAACUCCUUUUCUUGGGAAAGAAUUAUGACGGUACCCAAGGAAUAAGCACCGGCUAACUCCGUG
RNAcentral lists this ribosomal RNA (462 nucleotides) under uncultured bacterium. Its description in RNAcentral is "partial 16S ribosomal RNA". It matches the Rfam family "Bacterial small subunit ribosomal RNA", at positions 29 to 507 of the family's 1533-position model. The record is from RNAcentral.